Carassius carassius (crucian carp) is the source of this 802-nucleotide long non-coding RNA. RefSeq lists it as uncharacterized. Lineage: Eukaryota; Metazoa; Chordata; Actinopteri; Cypriniformes; Cyprinidae. The transcript is spliced from 2 exons. The record is from RefSeq and is a predicted model, not a curated record.
UGUGAACUACUUGUGUCUUCUUGGAGGAGUAUGAAUUCAUUUACAGGCUGAUUUUAUCAUAAAUCCACAAUAAAAUUUCUGAGUUUCUGUAUCAAUCUGUGUUGCUGUUUGUUUAUUUUUAUUUUUUUUUAUUUUUCAUAGGAAGAUAACGGACCCUUUACUCUCCUUUUUAAUAAAUGUGCUUAUAUACCAAGAACAAGCUAUUUAUAGCUGUAUUUAUUAACUGCUUACUACUGACUAUUAAUUUUGGGACAUGGCUUUAUAAAGUGAGUGAAAGGUCAGUAUCAAAUGAGUUUGAAAUUAUUAUUUGCAGCACAAAUAAGGUUUUUUAGGAUUUUUAAAAAUCCCUAAAACUGUCAGAAAAGGAUAAGGCCUAAGAUAUUUCUAUGUGAGUGGCUAAAUUUAUUUUUGUUUUUAUAAUUAUAAUGCAUAAACUAUGAAAUUAUACAAAAUGUAUAAAAAAGUACAACAGUUAUUUUCCAAUGUUUUUCAUUUAUUUAUUUAUUUAAUUUAUUUUUUUGGAUUUACAUUUCAAAAAAUUAGCCUACUUCAAUCAUUCUAAACAGCUUGAAUAAUACCCGUUAAUAUUUAUUAUAGACCACUGUAACUGUCUAUAAUCUAACAAACAAGUUUAUUAUGAAAAUAAAAGUGUGUACACCAGAUACAUUGGACGAUAAAGAAAUUGCUAACAAGAGCAUGUUUUAGGUUUUUAGGCGUUUAGAUGCAGAAAUGGACAAAUCAAAUGUAAAAUAAAAUGUACUUGAUUUAAUUAAAUAUAGAUUAAUUCUUGUAAGAGCAAAAU